This 820-nucleotide small RNA is filed under the name Pongo abelii (Sumatran orangutan). RNAcentral describes it as "retained intron". Lineage: Eukaryota; Metazoa; Chordata; Mammalia; Primates; Hominidae. The record is from RNAcentral.
UUCCCAGUUUGAUUUUUCUGCUUUUGUUUAGCCACAUGAAAUGAAGAUCACCUCUGCCUAUCUGCAGGACAUUGAGAAUGCCUAUAAGAAAACCUUUCUCCCUGAGAUGAGUGAAAAAUGUGAGGUUUUACAGUAUUCUGCAAGGGAAGCUCAAGAUUCAAAAAAGGUGGUAGAGGACAUUGAAUACCUGAAGUUCGAUAAAGGGCCGUGGCUCAAGCAGGACAAUCACACUUUAUACCACCUGCGAUUACUGGUUCAGGAUAAGUUUGAGGUGCUGAAUUACACAAGCAUUCCUGUCUUUCUCCCGGAAGUCACCAUUGGAGCUCAUCAGACUGACCGUGUCUUACAUCAAUUCAGAGAGCUGCCGGGCCGCAAGUACAGCCCUGGGUACAACACCGAGGUGGGAGACAAGUGGAUCUGGCUGAAGUGAACGGGCCGCCUUCUGCUCCAGCUGCGUCACAGCGAUGGCCAAGCUGCAUCAGCCGCACUCUCCUGGACGCCAUAUAGCUUUAAGAUCGGUGGGAGGGUAAAGAAUGCAAAAAUUGCACAGUGGAGGAAGUGGUCUCACAAAAAGCAAUCCAUCCUGUAGUAUAUAGGUAAUGGAGUUGGGGGAAGCAGCUUCCGUUCUGGAUGUUUGGAACCCUUUAGCUUUGUUUUGGAAUGGCCCACCAUUCUCACUGGAAAACAGUGGUCUGCUGUGAAAGGCCAGCUCUCGGCGGCCCCUGUGGUUUCAGCGCUGCCGCUCUGUGUCAUUCAGGUUGUGUACAUUGUUUUUCUUCCGACUUCCAGAAAUAAAAGCGUUUCCAUGGGACUUUCCCCA